RNAcentral lists this long non-coding RNA (414 nucleotides) under Chloebia gouldiae (Gouldian finch). RNAcentral describes it as "Erythrura gouldiae (Gouldian finch) lncRNA (ENSEGOG00005002532.1)". The record is from RNAcentral. Lineage: Eukaryota; Metazoa; Chordata; Aves; Passeriformes; Passeridae.
AAAUUCUGACAGUCCAACCAUGUUUUGCUUGUUACUAUUUUAAAUUUAGAAAUAAACAAGAUCAAAAACUUUUGUUCAGUCCUGUAUGCUCCCCUGGACUGUGGAUGAUCCAGCCAUUGGUGUCAAGAGCAGCUCGCAGUAGCUGUGCUCACACCUCAGUUCCCCACAGGGGCUGGGAUCUUGUUCAGACUGGCUGCAGUGAAGAGGCAUUCCAGGGCAGGGAAGCUGAGCCAGGCCAUUUUUGGAAAGAUUUCACUUCCUUCAACUAAAAAAGGACAUCAUUUGAGCUCUCAGCCUCUCCAGUGUUGGCAAAUCUUGAAAACAUGGACAAGGCCUCAGUAAAACUUUGGGAGAAGAUACUGUCUGGAAAAGUAAACCCAGUCUAUCCCAAAGUAAUUAUUUGUUAAAUAAAUA